Molecule: ribosomal RNA, 253 nt
Filed under: uncultured bacterium
Lineage: Bacteria
Description: partial 16S ribosomal RNA
Rfam family: Bacterial small subunit ribosomal RNA
Source: RNAcentral
UACGAAGGGGGCUAGCGUUGUUCGGAAUUACUGGGCGUAAAGCGCACGUAGGCGGAUAUUUAAGUCCGGGGUGAAAUCCCAGAGCUCAACUCUGGAACUGCCUCUGAUACUGGGUAUCUUGAGUAUGGAAGAGGUAAGUGGAAUUGCGAGUGUAGAGGUGAAAUUCGUAGAUAUUCGCAGGAACACAAGUGGCGAAGGCGGCUUACUGGUCCAUUACUGACGCUGAGGUGCGAAAGCGUGGGGAGCAAACAGG